RNAcentral lists this long non-coding RNA (1150 nucleotides) under Linum usitatissimum (flax). Its description in RNAcentral is "long non-coding RNA (LUSI_LNC005323)". The record is from RNAcentral. Lineage: Eukaryota; Viridiplantae; Streptophyta; Magnoliopsida; Malpighiales; Linaceae.
AAGAUAAGGAGAGAGAGUUCUUGAGUUCUGAUGUGCAAGACGAAAGAGACAUUCCAAUAUUUCACAAUCACGGAUGGAGCUUGAAGAUACAUAGCAUUUGAACACUUUUUCAUACACAGUAGCAGAUCCCCACCCUCAAAGCUUACUCAGCAUAUUCCCCCUUACAGCUUAAAUUUCGAAGGGGAGUUGCUCACUUACAGAAAGAAAGGAUCCAAAAAAAAGGAGAUUAUUGAAUAUUACAGUACACAAACGACAGAAGAGGAGAUGCGACAAAUCCUUGAAAAGCUAGGCCGAAUCCUCAUCACUUCUUGAAUGGAAUGGCUCUGAUCACCACCGUGUGGUACAAAGCUGCUAGAGCUGCGCCGAUGAAUGGGCCGACCCAGAAGAUCCACUGCAAAUUUUACACAGACGAUGUUGUUAUUAUAGAUCAAUUUGAUGAAGAACCAUGUCAAAGAUCGGAACUUGACCCCAAAUAUCUAAAUGGAACUUACGUGAUCAUCCCAUCCCUUAUCCUGGUUGAAGAUGAUGGCAGCGCCGAGGCUCCUAGCUGGGUUGAUUCCCGUUCCAGUGAUGGGGAUUGUGGCCAAAUGAACCAAGAACACCGCGAACCCAAUCGGAAGGGGAGCCAAAAUCUGAUCAAUUUCACAUCAUUAGUUCUUGCAAGGUCAUAAUCAAUCAGAGAAGAACACAAGCAGCAAUGGGAAGGGGUAAUUACAGGAACGUGGGAGUCUCUGGCACUACGCUUGGCAUCAGUGGCAGAGAAGACAGUGUAGACAAGAACGAAAGUUCCAACAAUCUCAGCACCAAGCCCAUCUCCCUUGGUGUAUCCAGGGUUAACAGAGUUAGCCCCGCCUCCCAAUAGCAUGUACUGCUGCUUCCCUUCGAAACCCUUCACUACACCAGCACCACAGAUGGCUCCUAGGCACUGCAUCACCAUGUAGAACACCGCUCUUGUCAGAGACAGCUUCCUCGCCAAGAAAAGCCCGAACGUCACCGCCGGGUUUAUGUGGCCACCUACAGUCAAUUCAUCGAACACAUAGCAGGCAUCAGAACAACUUUCACCACAGCUCAGUCAAAAAUCAAAGUCAGCCAAAACUCUGGAAAGUAUGUGGCCACAGGUCUCGGAUGAAAUUCAUCGAACACAUAGCAG